RNAcentral lists this ribosomal RNA (515 nucleotides) under uncultured bacterium. RNAcentral's name for it is "bacterial SSU rRNA". It matches the Rfam family "Bacterial small subunit ribosomal RNA", at positions 35 to 518 of the family's 1533-position model. The record is from RNAcentral.
AACGGCUGGCGGCGUGCCUAAUACAUGCAAGUCGAACGGUCUUUCUAUGGAAGCUUGCUUCCACUGAGAAGAUAGUGGCGAACGGGUGAGUAACACGUGGGUAACCUGCCCAUAAGAGGGGGGAUAACAUCCGGAAACGGGUGCUAAUACCGCAUAGUUUUCUUGAUCGCAUGAUCGGGAAAGGAAAGACGGCCUUUGUGCUGUCGCUUAUGGAUGGACCCGCGGCGUAUUAGUUAGUUGGUGAGGUAACGGCUCACCAAGACGAUGAUACGUAGCCGACCUGAGAGGGUGAUCGGCCACAUUGGGACUGAGACACGGCCCAAACUCCUACGGGAGGCAGCAGUAGGGAAUCUUCCGCAAUGGACGAAAGUCUGACGGAGCAACGCCGCGUGAGUGAAAGAAGGUUUUCGGAUCGUAAAACUCUGUUGUCAGAGAAGAACAAGUUGGAGAGUAACUGCUCCAGCCUUGACGGUAUCUGACCAGAAAGCCACGGCUAACUACGUGCCAGCCGCCGC